GACGAACGCUGGCGGCGUGCUUAACACAUGCAAGUCGAACGGAAAGGCCUUGCUUUUGUCGUGUGCUCAAGUGGCGAACGGGUGAGUAACACGUGAGUAACCUGCCCUUGACUUUGGGAUAACUUCAGGAAACUGGGGCCAAUACCUGCUACAUGCGCCCUCUUCUCGGCGUGGGGUGGAAAGUUUCGGCGGUUGGGGCAGGACUCGUGGCACAUCAGCAUGGUGGUGGGGUAGUGGCUUACCAUGGCGUUGACGAGUAGCCAGCCUGGGACGGUGACCGGGCACAUUGGGAUUGAGAAGCGGCCCAGACUGCUACGGGAGGCAGCGAUGGAGAAUAUUGCACGAUGGGCGGAAGCCUGAUGCAGCAACGCCGCGUGGGAGAUGACGGCCAUCGGGGUGUAAACCGCUUUUGCCUGUGACGAAGAGUGAGUGACGGUAAUGGGUAAAGAAGCAACGGCUAACUACGUG
Molecule: ribosomal RNA, 468 nt
Filed under: uncultured bacterium
Lineage: Bacteria
Description: partial 16S ribosomal RNA
Rfam family: Bacterial small subunit ribosomal RNA
Source: RNAcentral